This 102-nucleotide microRNA precursor is filed under the name Marmota monax (woodchuck). The record is from RNAcentral. Lineage: Eukaryota; Metazoa; Chordata; Mammalia; Rodentia; Sciuridae.
AGUGGGAUAGCUGGGUCAAAUGGUGGUUCCACUCCGGUUUUCCAAGGAAUCUCCAUACUGCUUUCCAUAUUGGCUGCACCAAUUUGCAGCCCCACCAGCAGU